RNAcentral lists this ribosomal RNA (1255 nucleotides) under metagenome. RNAcentral describes it as "SSU rRNA". It matches the Rfam family "Eukaryotic small subunit ribosomal RNA", at positions 1 to 1290 of the family's 1831-position model. The record is from RNAcentral.
UCUGGUUGAUCCUGCCAGUAGUCAUAUGCUUGUCUCAAAGAUUAAGCCAUGCAUGUCUAAGUAUAAAUAGUAUACAGUGAAACUGCGAAUGGCUCAUUAAAACAGUUAUAGUUUAUUUGAUAAUUGACAAUUACAUGGAUAACCGUGGUAAUUCUAGAGCUAAUACAUGCUUAAACGCCCGACUUUAUGGAAGGGUGGUAUUUAUUAGACUGAAGCCAAUAUUCCUUGUGUCUAUUGCGGUGAUUCAUAAUAACUGAUCGAAUCUCUUUUUGAGAUAAAUCAUUCAAGUUUCUGCCCUAUCAGCUUUCGAUGGUAGUGUAUUGGACUACCAUGGCAGUAACGGGUAACGAAGAAUUAGGGUUUGAUUUCGGAGAGGGAGCAUGAGAAAUGGCUAUCACAUCUAAGGAAGGCAGCAGGCGCGUAAAUUACCCAAUCCUGACUUAGGGAGGUAGUGACAAGAAAUAGCAAACCGGGAACCUCAUGGUUUCACGGUAUUGCAAUGAGAACAAUUUAAAACCCUUAGCGAGAAUCAAGUGGAGGACAAGUCUGGUGCCAGCACCCGCGGUAAUUCCAGCUCCACUAGCGUAUAUUAAAGUUGUUGCAGUUAAAAAGCUCGUAGUUGAACCUCUGUCUGGGGCUAGUUUUGGCUUUGGUCAGGCCAGUUCUAGGCAUCCGCCUACAAGACUUAGAGGGCAUUCAGUUGUUCACUAGGAGGAGUAGGCAUUUUACUUUGAAAAAAUUAGAGUGUUUAAGGUAGGUAAUCGCCCGCAUAUAUUAGCAUGGAAUAAUAGAAUAGGACACUUUUCCAUUUCGUUGGUUAUUGGAAUCGUGUAAUGAUUAAUAGGGACAGUUGUGGGCAUUUGUAUUUAAUUGUCAGAGGUGAAAUUCUUGGAUUUAUUAAAGACAAACUAACGCGAAAGCAUUUGCCAAGGAUGUUUUCAUUAAUCAAGAACGAAAGUUAGGGGAUCAAAGACGAUUAGAUAUUGUUUUAGUCUUAACUAUAAACUAUUCCGACUCAAUGUUUGACUGGUUUAUAUAACCAGUUGAGCGUUGUAUGAGAAAUCAAAGUUUUUAGGUUCUGGGGGGAGUAUGGUUGCAAAGCUGAAACUUAAAGGAAUUGACGGAAGAGCACAACCAGGAGUGGAUUCUGCGGCUUAAUUUGACUCAACACGGGGAAACUUACCAGGUUAAAACAAUAGUGGGAUUGACAGUUUGAGAGCGCUUUCUUGAUUGGUUGGGUGGUGGUGCAUGGCCG